This 252-nucleotide ribosomal RNA is filed under the name uncultured bacterium. RNAcentral's name for it is "partial 16S ribosomal RNA". It matches the Rfam family "Bacterial small subunit ribosomal RNA", at positions 524 to 776 of the family's 1533-position model. The record is from RNAcentral.
UACGUUGGGGGCGAGCGUUAUCCGGAUUUAUUGGGCGUAAAGCGUGUGUAGGCGGUUUAUUAAGUCUAAGAUUAAAGCCCGAGGCUUAACCUCGGUUCGUUUUAGAAACUGGUAGACUUGAGUAUGGUAGAGGCAAGUGGAAUUUCUAGUGUAGCGGUAAAAUGCGUAGAUAUUAGAAGGAACACCAGUGGCGAAGGCGGCUUGCUGGGCCAUCACUGACGCUGAGACACGAAAGCGUGGGGAGCAAAUAGG